This 3807-nucleotide long non-coding RNA is filed under the name Equus caballus (horse). Its description in RNAcentral is "lncRNA (ENSECAG00000041722.2)". The record is from RNAcentral. Lineage: Eukaryota; Metazoa; Chordata; Mammalia; Perissodactyla; Equidae.
UAACCAUUUUUGCCUUGAAAUAUUUCUUUAGAAUUGCGAACUUGAAGGUAUAGAGAAGUGAGAAGAAUUUAGAGCUGGAAGUUCUAGAACAUCUCAUUCCUUGGCCUCCUUUAUAGAUGAGCGAAAAGAGGACUGCUUCUCCUAGGAACCUUGGAAUGCAGAUUCUGGUUCAGGAGGUCUGGGGAGGGGCGUGGCAGUCUGCAUUUCUACCAAGCCCCCAGAGGAUGCUGACCCACAGACCACUCAUUUGAGUAUCAAGGAAGUAGACCAAGUGGCUAGCUACAGCUUACACAGCUAGUUGAUGGAGCCUGGACAAGCGGGUACUGCCCUCCCUUCUGCAGAGGAAGAAUUCAGGCUUCCAGCAGCCAAGGGCUUGCUUGCGUGCGGCUGUGUCAGGACUGCAAUUCAAGCCCCUAGUUUCUUGUUCAGGGCUUUCUUCACUCCACGAAGACCAUCAUUCUAACAUCCUACAAAUGUCCGGUGCAAAUGUCUGUGUGAAAUAUAUGCUCUUUUCUGUCUGUUUACUUCAGACUCUGGGGAGAGAUCGGAGAGACAUUAGUAACUUCUUUUUUCUUUCCUCAAGUCCCUGUGACGAAAUGACUGUUUCUGCAGUGCUUGUUUUCUGGGCCCUGGAAAGAUUCCAAAGCUGUCACUGUGUUUUCCAUCUGGCACUUUUUCAAGAAUCUCUCUGCUGCUUCCUGCAGCCUGGAGGUCGUCCUGCAGAGGCCCCUCUACCACCCCUGACAGGCUGGUGGGGCAGGACAUAGGCAUCACGGAGCUGUGCAAUAGGCAGGAACAGCUUGACGAGGGGGCGGGCGCCCCAUUGCGUGCAAACUCACUCCAAGACGGGGAAGCGGCCCCCAGAGACAUGGUUUUCAAAAGUAGAAAACUACCUGCUAAUUUGUUACGGAAACUUUAAGUAUUGAAUGAAUCUAGUGAUUUUUUAAAAUAUAAUUCAACCUAUGGGAAAAAAUCCAGCUUGACUUUCUUGAAACACUCACGGGUCACACUAUUUGGAAAGCAACACUGAAAAGAAACUUUGGAACUUCCAAGGGAAUGUGGAUGGUGAGUGAGCCUCUGCAUUACAGAGUUUGAGCCGUCCCACCUCCCCAAGAACGCUCAGGACCUCAAAGACCCAGCCAGAAAAGACCAAAGAGAUGAUGGAAGUCACAGCUUUGCAGAAACUUCAGAAAAUUUGUGUUUACAAAAGGGUUUGCAAUAAAAGCUGCUGCUCACGUUUUCCUUCUGAAAUAGGUCAAGGAAGUGAAACUCUGGAAGGUAACUCACAGGUGCAGGAUUCCUCUGGACCUGUAAGAAGCUGACGGGCAUUGUGGCCACCGUACGAUGGCGUAGGGGACCUGGCAUUUCCCAGAUUUCUUCAGGUAUGCGAUACUUCCUGCUCAUUCAGCCAAUGUGGUAAAUACCAUCUGACCAAUAGCAAAGGGAAAAAGAGUACACAGCAGCUUCUUCUCUAGCUCAUCGGGAGGAAAAGAGCAAAGAGGAAGGAAAAGAAAGAGCAUGGCCUGGUCCAAAUUUUGGGACAGUUACAUUAAACAAAAGGAUCAGAAAAUGGAAAUGUAUUCCUUUGAAAUGACUGUAAUCGGCUGAAUGUUGAGGCUGGGAGCAGAGUAAUGAUGGAGAACAAGGUGGAUGAGAGUGUUAAUUUUCUCUGAUGAUGAAGGGUAUAUGGUCACACUUACAAGAGGAGAUGCAGACAUCACAGAGGAGCUGAUUUUCAAGAGACCCACUCUGCUUGCUGGGGUCCAUUUUCCGGAUGGUUGGUUGGCAUGGAGGAGGCAGGAAUCACAGUGAGCCCACGUCCUCUCCAAGGCAGGCACGCAGGAGACGUGUGAUCCAAGCAAAGCCAGCAAAGUUUGAAGUACGUAAUAAUAAAACUGAAAGUGAUCAAGAGAAUUUGUUGGCUACAGAUAUAUUCUGACUUCAGGAUAAUUUCAGUUCCACUGUUUGGUAAUAUCACCAGGAAUUGUUUUAUCUUAGACUUUGGGCUGCCUUGCUCUCGUAUUUUGACUGCUUCUUAAAAUGCCCCUCCACGUCCCAAGAUAACUACCAGCACCUUCUGGAAUUCAUGCAGCCUCAUUCAUUAUAAACAGAAAAGACUAUCUUUGUCCCCAAGUAGGGAAAACAUUGCUUCACCAAACAUAUGUUAAGAUCUUAUUCUUUGCCAAGUACUAGUGACGCAGAAAUGAGUCAGACGUGAUUGCUUAAAUGGGAAAGCUCGGAGUCAUCAUCUGGACAUCCACAAUAUUCCUAUUUCCUUCUGCGUAAAGAUUGUUUUUAAAAAUGCUCGUAUUCUGCGAUUUAUGAAGUGUGUUGAUGAGGUAUGUUUAUGAGGUGUGUUGAGUAACUGAUGUAGAACCGGCCCCCGUCCUUCCUUACCUGGGCUCCUACGUCCACGAACAUGAGAUGUCACACUUUUCUUUAGUCAUUCUCCCUGCUUUGAAAACCCUUUCCUUCCUUCUCCACCAGGCCGAGUUUUAACGUUUCUUCAAAGCCCUCCAGGGCAUCUUUCUAGGGCGUAUCAAGAAAUGAGAUCCGCGGGCAAGUAAGUGACUGGGACGACUUCUCCCCGGCUAUGGGGUCAUUGCUUAAGAGCUAGACUUGCUGGAUGUCACCUCCACAAGUUCGUCCCCUCCUUUGUGUCCCCGUAGCACUUGGUUUACAUGGUCAGUAUGACACUCAGAUGUACAUACACGACUAACUACAACACGGUGCGGCUACUCUCCCACUUGACUUGUUUCUGAGGAUAAGGACACUCGAUUAUUCACCUUUGAGGUUCAGUCUUCUGGAUCAUACUGGACGUGUGUGGGACAGAAUGCUGACUGCAUAACCAGUGUCAAUGGCCCCUUCUUCUUAAGAACAGACCCACGUUGGGUAUGUCAUUAUGCUUAGUUUAAAAACCAUGUCUCCCAUUCUCCCUUCCACAUAAAAGUGAUGAAUGUGCAAGUGGAGGGUUUUGGACAGGACUUCCAGGACAAUUCUUUAAAAGGGGCUUACUCAACUGAGAGCCGAUCCUCCUUCUCCCAUUCCUUUGUCUUUCUGUUCAGAAUUCAAACGUGAUGGUUGACGUGCUAGCAGCCAUCUUGUGACCAUGAGUCAACCUUGAAGAUGUAAGCCCUGUGCCAAGGUUGGUGAGCAGGAACAAGAAAGUGCAGGAAGACGGGUCAGUCAUGUAGCUCCGACUGUACUGCUGGGCCAUCUACCCCUGGACAUUUUUAAUAACUCUCUAGAAGCAAUAAGAGUUGACUCCAUGGUGUAAGAGACUGAGUGAUAAGGAAAAGAUUUUCCACAUAGCCUUGUGAUGGAGUAACCAAAAUGACCUCUAAGGUUUGCCAGAAAAAAGCUAGACCUGCGAAGAAAGGAACGCAUUUUGGGCGGCUCCCCCGUGCUCCUCGGGGCCACAAGUACUCGAGGAAGUGACUGUUCCCUGGGUGGUGGCCAGACGCUCGGCUCCCAGGAGUCCGGCCGCCCUGAGGGCGGGGCCGGGAGGUGGAUGGACCGGAAGACCGCGCGUCUAGGGAGACUGAGUCACGUCCGGGUCAGAGCACGCGGCUUGACAGCCGGGGGAACGAAAUGCUGGUCUGGGGCGGAAUUUGAACUUUAGGUGGUUAAUUUCUACAGGCAAGAUCUCUGCUCCAUCUCGCGUCCUAAGAAAGGAGGGGUGUGUUUCUAAGCACAUACAGGCGCUCACACACUUUGCUGAUGUAUAUUCUCUACGUGCCUAAGCAUUGUAAUUUAGAUUUUGAUCUAGAAAAUUAAAAAUAAACGUCUAAGAGUUCCAUGCCAAAA